GUGCCUAAUACAUGCAAGUCGAGCGAACAGACGAGGAGCUUGCUCCUCUGACGUUAGCGGCGGACGGGUGAGUAACACGUGGAUAACCUACCUAUAAGAUUGGGAUAACUUCGGGAAACCGGAGCUAAUACCGGACAAUAUAUUGAACCGCAUGGUUCAAUAGUGAAAGACGGUUUUGCUGUCACUUAUAGAUGGAUCCGCGCCGCAUUAGCUAGUUGGUAAGGUAACGGCUUACCAAGGCAACGAUGCGUAGCCGACCUGAGAGGGUGAUCGGCCACACUGGAACUGAGACACGGUCCAGACUCCUACGGGAGGCAGCAGUAGGGAAUCUUCCGCAAUGGGCGAAAGCCUGACGGAGCAACGCCGCGUGAGUGAUGAAGGUCUUCGGAUCGUAAAACUCUGUUAUUAGGGAAGAACAAAUGUGUAAGUAACUAUGCACGUCUUGACGGUACCUAAUCAGAAAGCCACGGCUAACUACGUGCCAGCAGCCGCGGUAAUACGUAGGUGGCAAGCGUUAUCCGGAAUUAUUGGGCGUAAAGCGCGCGUAGGCGGUUUUUUAAGUCUGAUGUGAAAGCCCACGGCUCAACCGUGGAGGGUCAUUGGAAACUGGAAAACUUGAGUGCAGAAGAGGAAAGUGGAAUUCCAUGUGUAGCGGUGAAAUGCGCAGAGAUAUGGAGGAACACCAGUGGCGAAGGCGACUUUCUGGUCUGUAACUGACGCUGAUGUGCGAAAGCGUGGGGAUCAAACAGGAUUAGAUACCCUGGGUAGUCCACGCCGUAAACGAUGAGUGCUAAGUGUUAGGGGGUUUCCGCCCCUUAGUGCUGUAGCUAACGCAUUAAGCACUCCGCCUGGGGAGUACGACCGCAA
This 867-nucleotide ribosomal RNA is filed under the name uncultured Staphylococcus sp. Its description in RNAcentral is "bacterial SSU rRNA". It matches the Rfam family "Bacterial small subunit ribosomal RNA", at positions 44 to 891 of the family's 1533-position model. The record is from RNAcentral. Lineage: Bacteria; Bacillati; Bacillota; Bacilli; Caryophanales; Staphylococcaceae.